This 92-nucleotide non-coding RNA is filed under the name Thioploca ingrica. RNAcentral describes it as "TPP sequence". It matches the Rfam family "TPP riboswitch aptamer (THI element)". Rfam says of the family: Vitamin B(1) in its active form thiamin pyrophosphate (TPP) is an essential coenzyme that is synthesised by coupling of pyrimidine and thiazole moieties in bacteria. The previously detected thiamin-regulatory element, thi box was extended, resulting in a new, highly conserved RNA secondary structure, the THI element, which is widely distributed in eubacteria and also occurs in some archaea. Lineage: Bacteria; Pseudomonadati; Pseudomonadota; Gammaproteobacteria; Thiotrichales; Thiotrichaceae. The record is from Rfam by way of RNAcentral.
UUAAACGGCUAGGGGUGCCUUAGUGGGCUGAGAACAUACCCUUUGAACCUGAACCGGAUGGUACCGGCGUAGGAAAGCACAUACUAACUGGU